CUCGUUUUCUCUUGCCACUGCCAUGUAAGAAGUGCCUUUCACCACCCCCACACCCUGCCAUGACUCUGAGGCCUCCCCAGCCACGUGGAACUGAGGCAGCUGUAUGGAGGCCAAUAUGCAGACAAGGGAAGUAACUCAGGCAUUUUGGGGGAGAGGUACAGAAAGAAGAGAAAAGACUGAACUGACUGCUGUUCUGAACAAGAACUGUGACUAUAUGUGGUACUCCCAGAAUGCUGGUUUCCUUUCAGACCCAUCAAGUGGCCAUCCUAUUGGCUUGGACUGAAGACCCCCACUGGAGAACUGUCUCUGCAGCCUAUACUGAUGACACUGGCCACUGUCCAGGGCUCCACCCCAAGGAGUCCAAGCCCCAGACAUUUAGCCUUAGAGAGAAUCCAGAUUUUGCAUUUCCAGUGCAGGGAUUGAUGGAGCCUUGUGUAUCAAAGUGCCAAUUUCUUUCUAACAAGCUAGGGAGGAUACCGUUGACAGCAGCAGAAAGGGGUAGCAGUGGUUUGCUUUCCAAAUGGUAAUAAGAAGGGCCUGGCAGUGGCAACCUGUCCACGUAUCAUUAAAAAUGGACUCUCCUGCUUCGUUUGGAAUUCAACCCAAUGAACUUGAAUAAACUCUGGACAAUGACCAGCACAGAGCCCUAAGCAGGAUACAGCAAGAUUAUUUGCUUUACUCAUCCACUGAGUACCUACCAUGUGCCAAAUACUAUGCUAUAUGCCGAGUAUACACUGGCAAAUAAAACAGAUAUGGUCCCUGGAGCCUAUGAAUCUUACCCCAUCUAGCCACAAAUAAUAAAAAUAAGAAGAAUCUGAAGGACAAGUGGGACAGAAAUACUCAAGCAGAAUGAGGGUGAGAUUGAAGUCCCUGAACAUACAGUGCCCUUUACACUUGAUCUUAGCCAAAAGGCCGAGAAGAGAUUACAGUGCUUUUUAAAGGUAGCAUUUCACCCAGCCAAUAAUCAAUCCCUUUGGCCUUCUUGAGGUGCAAGGCCACACACUCAAAUUCUUUAAUCAAACAAUAGGCUAGUGCAAAUGGAGCUAUUUCUUAAACCCAGCUGUUUACACAGCAGCUACAAAUCUGUUCAGAAGGAAUCCCCCACCAUCCACAACUGUCUAUCGAGCAGAUGUGCAAGAGUAUUUGUCUCUCACCACCAGGGUUGCAGUCAGGACAAGAGAGCAGGUUUGAACGUCUUCGGCUCCUAGAACUGCACAAGCUGUGUCUUCAGUGCCCAGAGGCGGCUGCAACGUCUCCCCAGUUCUCCUCUCAGAACAAUGGAAAUUUUUUUUAGAGGCGUAAUAGGAAGGUUUGCAUUGAAUUAUUAAACAAUGGGUAUUGAAAAAUAUGUUUUCUUUGACCUCUGUACUUCUAGCUUUUACCAGUCAGUGUUUUCUUGUACCAAGGCUAAGAUAUGUAUAACACUGAAAUGGAUGUCUUCUUAUAUAAUAUUUUACAAGCUUUUGAAAACCUGUGCCCUUUAAUAAAUUUUAAAACGUUU
RNAcentral lists this long non-coding RNA (1501 nucleotides) under Homo sapiens (human). RNAcentral describes it as "ovarian adenocarcinoma amplified long non-coding RNA". The record is from RNAcentral. Lineage: Eukaryota; Metazoa; Chordata; Mammalia; Primates; Hominidae.